CACUUCACCGUUAGGAACAUUUAAGAACUAGAACCCGGGAAUGAUAUUGACUCCAAACCCUUUGUCUAAGCAGAUACGUUCUUUAUAUGUCCUGUUCAUCUUGUGGUGUUGAGUUUGACUAGUGGAUCUACCGAAUGCUCCCCCUAAGCUGUUGCUGAGAUUUCUUUAAUAAUCCUUAUCCUUGCAAAGAGAUUCUGCUUGGAUCUGAAUCAUCAUUAUACCAAUAAUAUCACCUUUAACAGCUUGGAGCAAAGUGUCGUUCAACGUCCCAUCCAGACUUACAAUCACCUUCUGUUGAUCAAUCAUAAUCACCCUGUAGACUGUAGACUCCAUUGAGUAGCCGAGGAAAAUAUUCUUUGAUUUUCAAAUGCAAGACUUUCAAAGAGGCAUUUUCCUCCAAACACAUACCAAGAGUUAGUGUUUGCUUUUGAUUGGCCACUAAGAAUGGUGUCUUU
This 455-nucleotide long non-coding RNA is filed under the name Daucus carota (carrot). Its description in RNAcentral is "long non-coding RNA (DCAR_LNC002086)". Lineage: Eukaryota; Viridiplantae; Streptophyta; Magnoliopsida; Apiales; Apiaceae. The record is from RNAcentral.